This 351-nucleotide ribosomal RNA is filed under the name Triticum aestivum (bread wheat). RNAcentral's name for it is "partial small subunit ribosomal RNA". Lineage: Eukaryota; Viridiplantae; Streptophyta; Magnoliopsida; Poales; Poaceae. The record is from RNAcentral.
AUGAAGAGGCAAAAUUGGGCAGGCAAUCCUAGAUGCUCGUUCUGCAGAGAUGUUGAAACUUCGCAACAUCUUUUUUUCACCUGUCAUGUUGCUCGGGUGGUUUGGAGGACGGUUGGGUGUGUGUUCGGCACAUCUCUUUGCCCGAACAAUAGCUGGCAGUAUUUCUCCUGGUGUUACAUAUUCCUUCCUGAUGGGGCUAAGUUUUAUACCUUUGGUUUGGCAGCCGUUUGCUGGGCAAUCUGGAACUGUCAUAACCAGGCUACUUUUGAACAAAAAAUGCUUAAGACUCCAUUUAAUGUGGUGUGUGCUGCUUGUGGUUUUUUUUACAUACUAGACAGGUUUGAUGGCUAG